GAUGAAGAACGUAGUGAAAUGCGAUAAGUAGUGUGAAUUGCAGAAUUCAGUGAAUCAUCGAAUCUUUGAACGCACAUUGCGCCCCUUGGUAUUCCAUGGGGCAUGCCUGUUCGAGCGUCAUUUGUACCUUCAAGCUCUGCUUGGUGUUGGGUGAUUGUCUAUCUUUAUAGACUCGCCUUAAAGUCAUUGGCAGCCGGCAUAUUGGCCUGGGAGCGCAGCACAAGUCGCGCUUCUUGUCAUGAAUGUUGGCGUCCAGUAAGUCUACAUAUUUUGCUCUUGACCUCGGAUCAGGUAGGGAUACCCGCUGAACUUAAGCAUAUCAAUAAGCGAGGA
This 333-nucleotide unclassified non-coding RNA is filed under the name soil metagenome. RNAcentral's name for it is "partial contains 5.8S ribosomal RNA, internal transcribed spacer 2, and large subunit ribosomal RNA". The stretch from base 1 to 120 matches the Rfam family "5.8S ribosomal RNA", at positions 35 to 154 of the family's 154-position model. The record is from RNAcentral.